AUGACGCGGCCUUCUCGGUUGGGGUUCGGUCUGGUGGUCACCUGCACGGCCGCGGGCUCCAGAAGUCAGCUACGGUGCGGCAGGGGAUCCAGAUGGCCAUCCUCACGCACCCUGGGGCACACCGGGCAGGGCCCCCAGCCCCAGCGUGCAGGCUACACGCUGGGCGUCCAAGAGCCCAAGUGCAGGUCAGAGGUUCCCAGGCCUUCGCUGCCCUUGGUGUUGGGAGGCAACCGCUGGUCACUAAGGUCCCGAAGCGGCAGCUGGGCACCCGGGCUGGGUGUCGGCUCUGCCGGGAGCAGGGGAGACCGAAGCUUGACCCCGAGAAGGACUCGUCGGGCAGCACACGGGUCAGAGGCUGCGGGGGAACCAGACAGAACCCAGGUCUCCAGAGUCCGGGCGCACUGCGCUCGGGUCACUGCCAGGCCACGGUCCAGGCCCCCUGCACCCAGUCCGGGCCCACCCUCUGCGAUCCUCGGCACUGGCUGUCCCCCAACAGGGCCCGGCCUCCACACCCGGGUCCCCUCCUCGGGGGGCAGGGUGACUGGGGAUGCGCCCCGGGGCACGGUGCUCCCACCUCUGCUGGGCCUGGCGGGCGGUACAGGCUUGGCUGCGGCUCUGAAGAGAGCAGCAGUUUCAGGGAGCGCCCUGCCCGGGCCCCUAAUUACUGCCUGUCGCGCCCUGGGACACGGGCUGCUCUCGCUCGCAGGUCUGGGCUCCUGGGCACAGUGGGGCACGGCAGCAGCGGCCUAUUCUACCUCUGGGGGCUCCCCCGCAGCUCCCCCUGCCCAGCCUGCAGGGGCCCCGAGAAACGGGCUUCAUCUUAACUCUGAGCGGCCGGUGGGUGUGUGGGGUCAUGUGCUGACGGUUCCGAGGGCCCAUCUGGGGUCAGUGGGAGGCACACCGGGCCGGGUACUGAUGGCGCCGGUUGGGGCCGCCGCAACCACUGCCUUGGCUCUAAGAGUGGCGUCUCUCAGGGUGGAGAAGCUGGCGGGAACUGGGUGCCCCAAGGUUGUUUGUGGGGUGGGGGGUGCUUACGCCUCUUCCCCAAGGAGGGAAGGCAAGUAG
This 1065-nucleotide long non-coding RNA is filed under the name Canis lupus dingo (dingo). RNAcentral's name for it is "lncRNA (ENSCAFG00020004182.1)". Lineage: Eukaryota; Metazoa; Chordata; Mammalia; Carnivora; Canidae. The record is from RNAcentral.